CCUACGGGAGGCAGCAGUGGGGAAUAUUGGGCAAUGGAGGAAACUCUGACCCAGCGACGCCGCGUGCGGGAUGAAGGCCUUCGGGUUGUAAACCGCUUUCAGCAGGGAAGAAGCGAAAGUGACGGUACCUGCAGAAGAAGCACCGGCUAACUAUGUGCCAGCAGCCGCGGUAAUACAUAGGGUGCAAGCGUUGUCCGGAAUUAUUGGGCGUAAAGAGCUCGUAGGUGGUUCGUCACGUCGGAUGUGAAAAUCUGGGGCUUAACCCCAGACCUGCAUUCGAUACGGGCGAGCUUGAGUAUGGUAGGGGAGUCUGGAAUUCCUGGUGUAGCGGUGGAAUGCGCAGAUAUCAGGAGGAACACCAAUGGCGAAGGCAGGACUCUGGGCCAUUACUGACACUGAGGAGCGAAAGCGUGGGGAGCGAACAGGAUUAGAUACCCUGGUAGUCCACGCCGUAAACGGUGGGCACUAGUUGUGGGGACCUUCCACGGUCUCUGCGACGCAGCUACGCAUAGUCGCCCGCCGUCGGGAGGUACGAGUCGCGAAGAAUUAAAACUUAAAUAGAAGUUAGACGGCGUGAGACGUGCCGACGGACGACGACGAGGGAGGUAGG
Molecule: ribosomal RNA, 610 nt
Filed under: uncultured bacterium
Lineage: Bacteria
Description: bacterial SSU rRNA
Rfam family: Bacterial small subunit ribosomal RNA (bases 1-521)
Source: RNAcentral